This 618-nucleotide ribosomal RNA is filed under the name Triticum aestivum (bread wheat). Its description in RNAcentral is "partial small subunit ribosomal RNA". The record is from RNAcentral. Lineage: Eukaryota; Viridiplantae; Streptophyta; Magnoliopsida; Poales; Poaceae.
AUGGCAGGAGGAAAGUUUACAUUUCAACAAGGGGUCAUCCGUUUCCGAGGACGCAUGUGGCUUGGCAACAAUGUGAAACUCCAAAAUCAGAUUAUGCGUGCCCUACACGACAGUGCAAUUGGCGGCCACUCUAGGUUCCCGGCAAUGUACAGCAGGAUCAAGCAGCUCUUCACGUGGCCUGGGAUGAAGUUGCAGAUCAAAACACAUGUCCAAACCUAUCAGGUAUGUCAACAAGCCAAGCCAGAUAGAUCACCCUAUUCGGGGCUACUUCAUCCACUUCCAGUUGCCAAAAGAUGUUGGGAUUUGGUUUCUUUGGAUUUUAUUGAGGGUCUUCUGCCAUCGGGCAGAGCAAACUGCAUCUUGGUCGUAGUGGAUACAUUUUCCAAGUAUGCACAUUUUCUGCCGGUCACACAUCCAUACACCGCCACCCAGAUUGCGCAGUUGUAUAUCGAAAACGUGUACAAAUUACAUGGUAUGCCAGAAGCACUAAUAUCAGAUAGGGAUGCAGUGUUCACUAGUCGGGUCUGGCAAGCAAUUUUCAAGCUGCAGGGUGUUGAACUGAAGAUGAGUUCUUCCCAUCAUCCACAAACGGACGGGCAAACAGAACGGGUGAAUUAG